UAGGGAAUCUUGCGCAAUGGGCGAAAGCCUGACGCAGCAACGCCGCGUGCGGGACGAAGGCCUUCGGGUUGUAAACCGCUUUCAGCAGGGACGAAGCUGACGGUACCUGCAGAAGAAGCCCCGGCCAACUACGUGCCAGCAGCCGCGGUAACACGUAGGGGGCGAGCGUUGUCCGGAUUUAUUGGGCGUAAAGAGCUAGUAGGCGGUUUCGUAAGUCGGGUGUGAAAACUCCAGGCUCAACCUGGAGACGCCACCCGAUACUGCGAUGACUAGAGUCCGGUAGGGGAGCGUGGAAUUCCUGGUGUAGCGGUGAAAUGCGCAGAUAUCAGGAGGAACACCGACGGCGAAGGCAGCGCUCUGGGCCGGUACUGACGCUGAGGAGCGAAAGCGUGGGGAGCGAACAG
RNAcentral lists this ribosomal RNA (404 nucleotides) under uncultured bacterium. RNAcentral describes it as "bacterial SSU rRNA". It matches the Rfam family "Bacterial small subunit ribosomal RNA", at positions 355 to 775 of the family's 1533-position model. The record is from RNAcentral.